GACGAAGGGGGCUAGCGUUGUUCGGAAUUACUGGGCGUAAAGCGCGUGUAGGCGGUUGUUCAAGUCAGGUGUGAAAGCCUUGAGCUCAACUCAAGAAAUGCACUUGAUACUGGAUGACUAGAGGACCGGAGAGGAUAGUGGAAUUCCCAGUGUAGAGGUGAAAUGCGUAGAUAUUGGGAGGAACACCAGUGGCGAAGGCGGCUCGCUGGACCGGAACUGACGCUGAGGCGCGAAAGCGUGGGGAGCAAACAGG
This 253-nucleotide ribosomal RNA is filed under the name uncultured bacterium. RNAcentral describes it as "partial 16S ribosomal RNA". It matches the Rfam family "Bacterial small subunit ribosomal RNA", at positions 524 to 776 of the family's 1533-position model. The record is from RNAcentral.